AAGCAUUUACGAUGUGCUUAUGUUAUUUAGGCACUACAAUUAGCACCAAGAUUACAAAAAUAUAAGCAAAAGGAAUGCUAGAAUCUGCUCUCAAGGUGUUUCCACUCCAAUCAGAGAAGACAACACAUAAAGAUGGUGCUGGGUGCCUGGUGAAUUCCAGAGUUAGGCUCAGAGCAUGGAGAAUGAAAGAAUGAACAUGACUGCUGAGUAGACUUCUUUUGGAAGGCCACCUAUUGGAGGAAGAGGCAACAGGAGAAUCUCCCAAGGCUGUGGCUCUAGUUCUCAAAUUCCAUGCUGGUGAUUUGGACUUCCCAAAGCCCCCUGGUUGCCAUGCAGAUGAUCAGAGGAUCUUUGAUCUGAAACUGGAAAGAACCCUGAAAAUGAAGGUCCGGAGAGUAAGUGGAUUGCCCAGGCAGAAUUUAGCAGAACUGGGCUUUGAACCCAAGUCACAGGACUAA
Molecule: long non-coding RNA, 458 nt
Filed under: Monodelphis domestica (gray short-tailed opossum)
Lineage: Eukaryota; Metazoa; Chordata; Mammalia; Didelphimorphia; Didelphidae
Description: lncRNA (ENSMODG00000032774.2)
Source: RNAcentral